RNAcentral lists this unclassified non-coding RNA (312 nucleotides) under plant metagenome. RNAcentral describes it as "partial contains 5.8S ribosomal RNA, internal transcribed spacer 2, and large subunit ribosomal RNA". The stretch from base 1 to 104 matches the Rfam family "5.8S ribosomal RNA", at positions 50 to 154 of the family's 154-position model. The record is from RNAcentral.
GAAAUGCGAUACGUAAUGUGAAUUGCAAAUUCAGUGAAUCAUCGAGUCUUUGAACGCACAUUGCGCCCCCUGGUAUUCCGGGGGGCAUGCCUGUCCGAGCGUCAUUUCUGCCCUCAAGCACGGCUUGUGUGUUGGGCCCCGUCCUCCGAUCCCGGGGGACGGGCCCGAAAGGCAGCGGCGGCACCGCGUCCGGUCCUCGAGCGUAUGGGGCUUUGUCACCCGCUCUGUAGGCCCGGCCGGCGCUUGCCGAUCAACCUAAAUUUUUAUCCAGGUUGACCUCGGAUCAGGUAGGGAUACCCGCUGAACUUAAGC